AAUAUGUACUAAGCCUUCCAUAAUUCCAAAAUGUCGUGGUCUCAAAUUGAACCUCGUGAUCCUAAUUUAACGACUUGGUCUCAAAUAACAUCAUCUCGUGAUCCAAAUUCAACGACGACUGAAGAUGAAGACGGAGAUGGCGAGAUAGACCAUCCUAUUCGAAAUUAUUGUAGAAUGUACGUAAUACUGCUCUAUACUUUUGGUUUUUGGUUGUAUCUGUUGAUAGGGCUAAUCA
Molecule: small RNA, 235 nt
Filed under: Arabidopsis thaliana (thale cress)
Lineage: Eukaryota; Viridiplantae; Streptophyta; Magnoliopsida; Brassicales; Brassicaceae
Description: ATSL171880
Source: RNAcentral